Panicum hallii is the source of this 312-nucleotide long non-coding RNA. RefSeq lists it as uncharacterized. The record is from RefSeq and is a predicted model, not a curated record. Lineage: Eukaryota; Viridiplantae; Streptophyta; Magnoliopsida; Poales; Poaceae. The transcript has 3 exons.
GAAAAAUACAAGGCUUCGAGCAAGUUGCGAGGGGAUCGAGAUUCGUUCAAACGAUGCAGAAGCUUCGAAGUACUUGGCCUGCAAUAUUCCAAGAGCACACAGGUGUAAGUAAAAACAAGGGGCAAGCAACCAUCACCAGCAAAAAGGAAGAGAAUGAGACUGUUUCAGACGCAUACCAGAAGAGCAAGCAGUGUCCUGUAGAGACUCAUCUUCCUCCUCGCCGUCGUUGCACAUCAGCUCGGACGUGAUGAAGGAGGCAUCAUCGUCGAUGGAAUCGAAGGAAGAAGAGAAGCCGGAGGAGAAGCUACCGCC